UACGUAGGUGGCAAGCGUUGUCCGGAUUUACUGGGCGUAAAGCGAACGCAGGCGGACUGUUAAGUAGGAAGUGAAAGGUCGGAGCUCAACUCCAACAUUGCUCCCUAUACUGGCAGUCUUGAGUAGCGGAGAGGAAGGGGGGAACGACACGUGUAGCGGUGAAAUGCGCAGAUAUCAGGAGGAACACCGAUGGCGAAGGCAGCUCGCUGGGACGGUACUGACGCUGAGGCGCGAAAGCGUGGGGAGCAAACAGG
This 254-nucleotide ribosomal RNA is filed under the name uncultured bacterium. Its description in RNAcentral is "partial 16S ribosomal RNA". It matches the Rfam family "Bacterial small subunit ribosomal RNA", at positions 524 to 776 of the family's 1533-position model. The record is from RNAcentral.